CAACACUUGUGCUGUUGCUGAGACAACCAUCAAAUUGAGAUGGAAUAGUUGCACUACUAAAGUACUGGUGACAUCUGUGAACAACCAUCCUCAUGGGGACACUUCAUGUCUGAGCUCAGCAUACUGAAGCAGCUUUCCCAGAUGAAGACUCC
Long non-coding RNA from Pipra filicauda (Wire-tailed manakin), 152 nucleotides. RefSeq lists it as uncharacterized. The transcript has 3 exons. NCBI's taxonomy places the organism in Eukaryota, Metazoa, Chordata, Aves, Passeriformes, Pipridae. The record is from RefSeq and is a predicted model, not a curated record.